CUACGUAGGGGGCGAGCGUUGUCCGGAAUGAUUGGGCGUAAAGGGCGCGUAGGCGGCCCGGUAAGUCUGGAGUGAAAGUCCUGUUUUUAAGAUGGGAAUUGCUUUGGAUACUGUCGGGCUUGAGUGCAGGAGAGGUAAGUGGAAUUCCCAGUGUAGCGGUGAAAUGCGUAGAGAUUGGGAGGAACACCAGUGGCGAAGGCGACUUACUGGACUGUAACUGACGCUGAGGCGCGAAAGUGUGGGGAGCAAACAGGAUUAGAUACCCUGGUAGUCCACACUGUAAACGAUGAAUGCUAGGUGUAGGGGGUAUCGACCCCUUCUGUGCCGCAAUCAACACAAUAAGCAUUCCGCCUGGGGAGUACGGCCGCAAGGUUGAAACUCAAAUGAAUUGACGGGG
Molecule: ribosomal RNA, 397 nt
Filed under: uncultured bacterium
Lineage: Bacteria
Description: partial 16S ribosomal RNA
Rfam family: Bacterial small subunit ribosomal RNA
Source: RNAcentral